GUGGCUCAUAUUUUAUAUCUAUUGGGCAGCACUGAUUCAAGCAGAAAGUGUAAGGUACAACUGGGCACAUGGAAGCCUGCGUGCUUUGCUGGUUGCUAUGCAGAUGGCAGAAAGAGCCACCUUUGAAACACAAGGACCAGCUCAGAGCACCCUGAGGACCCGCAAGAAGAAGCUGAGGAAGAAAAGAUCAUAGACUGAAGUCCUAUCUGUGUGAGAACUGGAAAUCUGGAUAUGCGAGCACCAGACGCAUGAACAGAAAGAAGCAAGACCAUAUUUCAUGGUCUCUUAGAGGGAGACAAGAUGAUCCAAAUGAAUACCAGUGCCCUAGGUGCUCUGAUAAAUACAGAAGCGUGCAACGGAGAGAACACCUGUUCUUAGGCUACCCAACCAGUGCCUGACUGGAUCUGAGGUUCACUCCAAGGGAAGGAAUA
RNAcentral lists this long non-coding RNA (431 nucleotides) under Mus spicilegus (steppe mouse). RNAcentral describes it as "lncRNA (ENSMSIG00000005821.1)". The record is from RNAcentral. Lineage: Eukaryota; Metazoa; Chordata; Mammalia; Rodentia; Muridae.